GCCGUGUGGUGAGCCGCCGUGGGAGCCACAAGAUCGCUUCGGUUCUUAUAUCCUCGUUUUGCAAUCCGCUUGGCUCCCCAAAACUACCAAACUAACAAACUCGUUUCGGAAUCAAUUCGAAUUGAAUCGUACUGAUGGGGGAACCGGAGUUCGAUGCCACGUCUUGUCUGUGCCUGUGCGUCCUUGAGCUGCUUUCGCCCAAUGCAUUUGUUUUUAAAUCGGACAAAGUCUUGAACAGAACUUUCCCGUAUCUUUGCUUUGUGUUCGUCCCCAAAUGACUUGACAUUUAACCAACAUAGCGUUCUGUUUGGCCCGCGCAAACAAUGCUCUUUAAUGCCCCUUUCUAUAUAAUGUGUGUACUUGUAUUUUCUGUUUGUUUUGGCUUCGUUCUAUGAUUUAUGUGCGUCCCCAUAACACUUGUGUCCACUAACACGUCGUAAUCGCCGCGAUCUGUACAAUGUGUCUUUAUCUAACCGAUCUGAUAUAUCUCACAUAUCUGCUCACUUCAAUAACAAUAUUUCACGCCGAGCCUCUGCAAUUCGUUUAGUCGCUACCAUUUCAGUCGGGUCUAAAUGGGCCAUUUAAAUUUAGCCGCCACGAUGACAGAGUGUAUAUCCAUCUAUAUAUCCACGAAUAUUUAAUAUGUAUAUAUUAUAUGUUCAGAUUAACACGUGUGUGUGCAAAAGUGUACACCCACUCUCAAAAGUGCGGAUUUUUGAGACUUGGCAAAAAUCCGUGCUGAAUGUGUUUACUUUUCCUUACGUGAUCUGAGAUUGUUAAACGAUUUAAACUUUUGCCUAUCCAUCCAGUUGGUUUCAAUAUAUUUUAUUUUUCCACCUUUCUAAAGUAAUUUAUUAAUGCCUUGCCAGCCAGCUUUUGCUAUACAACUGCUGACUAAUGCUACUUUCUGCUUUGGCAAGCUUCUAAUUUGUUGUUAUUCUCGAAAAGAACAGCGUUUGUUUUAAAUUUGAAAUACACAUAGCCUGCUUACGCCAAUGCCCACUGUAUGUGCCAAAUAGAAUUUUCGACUUUCGACCAUUGUUGGCCAGUCAGUGAGCCAUGGCCACAUGGCAAUUUCCCAGCCGAAAGCCAUUUUCAUUUUCAUUUCGCCACAAUUUUGUGUGUGUGUGUGUGUGGGGGCGUUUCGCUGCGAAGAAUGCGAAAUGAUCUAGCGCAUCACGUGCCUGCUGACGCGAGUUCGACAUCCGCUUCCCAGCCAAGCCACAGUGGACCCCCCCUGCGACGACCCUGUGCGCCCUGAGCACACCACCCAUUGUACCCCCCAGACUUUUGUUUACCCUCUCUUCGCAGUUGGGCGCUAAAUGCGCUCCAUUCAAUUAGUUUAGUAGUGCUCCGAUUGACACAGUCGGGCUCGCAAAUCUAGAGCCAUGAGCACCGUUGAUGAUUAAUACAAUACAUUAAAAUUAUACUGUAAUGCACAAAGUGCUUUCUAUUUGAAUCAUUACACUGAAUUCUAAGAAUAAUUUAUAUAUUUUUGAAUGUCUCACAAACGUGCUAACAGCACAAAUCGCUCAACCACAAGUGUUCACAUGCGUAUAUAUAUGUAUAUAUAUUCGUGCUGAUACAUAUAGCUUCCAUAUUAUAGAAGGCUGUGAUAGCUAAUAUAUUAGGCGGGGCAAGUCUUGCCAAGAAUUCUCGUUUGAACUUGUUAUCGCUCGAUGUCUGUCAGUCGCUUUGCUUGGCGUGGCUGUGGUGUGUCCUCUCUGCUCGAUUGAUUUCCCGAAAUUGAUUGCUAAACGAUUUUGUUUUCUGAGUUUUGCCUGUUUGCCUGUUGAUUUGCUUUCCUUUGCCUUCCCCUCCCUCAAAACUGAAACCCUUCACUUCCCCAAAUACCAAUCCGACUUCUUCAUUAUGGAAAUUAACUUGGCUAAUUAUGUAUUUAUCUAUGUUGUUUGCCUGUGCCUAAAGAACCUCCUAAUCUGCAUACGAUUUGAUUGUCUCGAGAGUCCAUUAAAGGUUGGCUGGGCAGUCGCAAUCAUACACAAUCUGAAUUCACACACACACGCCGGCUUUAAAACAAUCAUUCAGAUAUUUGGUACACAGAGAGAACAAUCAUUCAGAUACUUGGUUCACAGGGAGAACAAUGUGAUUUGCUAGGCAUAUCAUAGAUUGAUUAAGAAUGAUAUCUGCACUGCCUCCAAAUAAAUUUAAACUAUAUCGCGAAUUAGUUAUUCUUAUCACCUGCUACUUAGUCCACUCUAGUUUCUUAUCAGUACCAGAAAGCUUUAUUAUUUUUUUCCCUGUGCAUAGAUUUCCAUUCCCUGAUGCGCAAUAGCUGGUGAAAUUGCAAAUACGCGUACACCGCUCUUACAUACAUCUCCUCACGUUCCUGUACAUUAUUUUCUCUUGCAUCAUCGUUGCUAAUUGAAUUAGAAUUGGCAGGCCAGAAGAAUAGACUCGCAAACCAAAACAAAACGUUCAGCGUUUCAUUGGGCAAAAAAAAAAGCAGAGAAACAGAGAAACAGCAGUGCGUCCCACCAAUUGAUCGAUUCCACCUGCCACCCGAUGCACUGCGUCAAGUUCAAUGCAAUUGCCGUGCACAAAAAGCAACUAAUGCCCAAACAAAGGGAGCUCAUUGGGCAGCAAAGUUUUCCACGCGACAGGGAACCGCAACAAGUGUUGCCUCCGUCGAUCCCCCAAAAGCACCUGACUUUAUAGACACCCAACCACACACGCCCACCAAUCUGAUUUAUUUACCCCCAUUGGCGCACAAAUGCAAGGCAGCCACAGUACACACUCGCUAGCUGAAACCGUAAAAUCAAUGCACUUGAGAAUUUGAAUAAAUAGCUCAGUCUGCUUACGUACUUAAAUAGAUUAAUAUAUUGAAACACUCCUGUUAUUUUUGUUACUAUUUGUACAAUCUGUAGAAUGUUCCAGUUAGCGAAUUUCAACUGUUUUAGCAAGAGCACGAUGAUGACAUAGCUUAUCGCCAAAUGGCAAACUGUGACUCCCUGUCUGUGGGAAAAAGCCCCCUCAUGUCGACUUGGAUCAGCGAUUACAGCUCACUCGUCUCAAUUGCCUUGGAUGGCUGACACAUGAAGCUCUACUUUGACUCAACGAGGCUAUUGAGUGUUUAUCCACACAGCUUCCUAUAUGCCAUUGUUGAUUUCGGAAUGAAAGCACAUUCCUAAGGCAAAAAUCCAUUAUUCCAUUAGGAAGAUUUCUCAAAAACAAUUCGCCAACUGUGCGCAUUAUAUUGAUCAAUUUUUAAGCAAAACAUUAGUCAUUCCUCAUUUUUCGAAUUACUCCACAUUUUGUUGGCUUUUGUGUACAUUUAUUAUUUUAUUGAGCUUCAAAUUACUAAAAACAAUGGAAAAUGUGCUGGCACUAAACUGCCUCUAACCGCUUUUUAAAUUAGUAUCAGCAUUGAAAUUGAAUUCCAAGCAGAUGGAACGUAAAACUCAGGCAUUCAGACAUUAACAACUGGAGGAGACGAAUAAUGCUGAGUACUCUUUAACCCGCCGCUGAUUAGAAACUGUUUACUUGGG
Molecule: long non-coding RNA, 3509 nt
Organism: Drosophila santomea
Lineage: Eukaryota; Metazoa; Arthropoda; Insecta; Diptera; Drosophilidae
Exons: 2
Source: RefSeq, a predicted model, not a curated record